UUCUAAACUGCUGCUUUCAUCCUUCCGCUUCUCCACUCCUAGGCCCUCAGGAGCUCCCCAUCACCUAUCAAAUAAAUUUCAAGUGCACUGCAGCCUGGCAUCAACUUCUUCAACCUUAUCAUCUACACUUCCUGCAACACCUGCAUCUCACCAGACUUGAACUACAUCCUUCAUUAUUCAAAUCCUACUCCACAAUCCAUUCUGCUGCCCUGCUUAAAAUAACUCCUUCUGAUUUUUAUGCAGUGGAAACACAGCCACUUGCCAUAGCUCAGGUCCAUAGCUCAGAUGGUCUUUUCCCCUGAAAAUUCACUCAUCUUUUGAAUGCCUGUUUUGGUAGCCUGUUCGUCAUCAGACCAUGUAUUUCCUCGAAUGGCUGAUAUUAAUGACAGUUUACAAGUCCCGGCUCGCUUAACUUUAAUCUCCUUGAGGGCAGUGAUCAUAUUUCACAUUCUGCUUUCUACACAACACCAGCAAAGAUCUGGCACACAAUCGACUUUAAACGAAUGUUUGUUGAAAUACUGACUAGGUUAGGUUUUCCAUUCGUAUAGUUGAUGCAGAAAAAGUGAUAUUCAUUUCUAAAAUGUGGCCUCUCUUGAAUCUUUGUGUUAGUUACUGCUGUGUUACUAAAGUUGAUGUCAUGAGAAAUUCGCCAGCAAACCACAAACACUAGUGUAGUGGUGUUAGCACACAGGUGAGCUCUCUGUAGGUGACAGGCCCUGACUUUUCCAGGACGGGAGAGCAGCAGUGCAUUUUUUAUUAGAGAGAGAGAGAGUUCCAUGUUCUUGGACAAUCAGAGCCUAGUUAUUCAGAUGCUAAGGAAGACACAAGGCAAACUGCUGGUGAUGUCUUAACCUCGGGAUUCCCCAGAAAGCUAGUAAGAAUCACCAGCCCGUGCUGGCAGGCAUGGCUACUUCCUGUCAAAGGCAUCGAAGUGAAAGCAAUGGAACACAAAAUGACAACAACAUCUGGAACUAGACUCCUUCCAUGAUGCCUCCACUGUCCCAGAACGAUGCCCAUCCCCACACCUACAACACUCUGUGGCGCCUCCUCAGGUCCACCUAUUAAACUGUGGGGUGGACUGUGUUUUAACAUUAUAGCCCAAGGACCUAACAGCCCCUGGCACACAGUAGGUUCUCAAGCAGUGAUUUUUGUGAGGGAAGGACUAUGCUCCUCUCUGCAAAAAUGGAAAUCAAUGACCGUACUUCCCUCUCUGUAAGCCGGUGAGUGCGUCACGAGAUAGUCAAGACUCAAUGUUCUGAGCUGAACAAAUCUGAUGAAAGCAGAAGACUUAGAAGGCCGUCUUUGAAAAGAAGCCAAGGGGGAAUCUAGGCUUUGAAGAUAUCUUGUCCCACUAAUUCUGCUGUCUCUUUUCUUCCAGGCUCUAGAGCAGGCUACAAACUUGAGAGUGAGGUGAAAAUGGGGUGAUAGACGUCCUCUCAGCCUAUCUUAACACAUCUUACGAGAGUCGAGAGUCGUUAGGAGAAUGUAUUAUUCAUUCCCAACUGACUGCCCUGCUGAGGCAAAUGUUGUAAAGAUGCUUCAUUUGGGGAAGUUAGACUUGAAAGAUUAGGACUUAGAUGUGUUUCCAUCAACUUUAUGCCAGAGUCGAAGUUCAUACUCAGAACUUAGUGGUGAUGGUCUCAUCGGUCUAAGGACUAAAAAUAUUUCCUAUUAUACCCAGAGCGUGGCAACUAUCGGCUUUCAGGGGUAAAUUCCAUUCGAUUGGGAAAAUCUUGGUUGAAUAUCGCAUAGUUUCGAAGCUGCUCUUGUCAUACUUUUUCUCCUCCGAGGACACCUCAGACAUUCUAAUUUUGGAUCCACUGUCAUGGUGGCCCUUCCUUAGCUUCCGCUUUAUGUAAUUAACCCAACUUGGGUCCUCCUUUUCUUCCCCACAAGUAGUUAAUCCACAGCCUAAUGGGCCAUGUUGCUAUCUUUACAGUCCUUUCUCUUAGAUUAAUGUACUCCGGGUCCUGUGUAAGGACUUGGCUCUGUGCUAGGCACUUUGCAUGUGCGACACCACCUCAUUCCCCACAAUUCUAGGUGGUAGAUGUUAAUAUUUUUAUUUUCACUUUAUUUGCGACGACAGGCUAACAGAGGUCAUGAAACUUGCUCAAGAUCACACCACUAAUCAGUGCUGGAACCAGCAUUUGAGCUUAGGUCCAAAUAACACCAAAGCCCAUGCGUUUAAGCAAUGCACGUUGCAUCCACAAGCUACAAGUUUCAGAAAAAGCACAGCCUACCACGGCCAAAGAAAAAAUGUCUGAAAGAUUCUUUCUCCGAGAAGUCAAGGAUUUGAAGGCUUCGUAACUCCCAUGUCAAACUAUUAAUGUCGAUCACAAAACACGGUAAUUUAUUUAAAUGGCUGAUCAUUGAGUAGAGCCGAUUAUAAUAAAGAAAUGUAUUUUGCUGAGCAAAAGGCUGAAGGGAAACUCAGAGCCUCAUGUAUACGUGUGGGGGCAGAAAGAAGUUAGCCCCACCCCCCUGCAAGAAAGACGUGAAUAAAGUCUCGGAGUUUUUCUAUUUGUUGGAGUUAGAGGUUUGGGAGAGCCAUUCCAUGUGCUAGAUAAACAAGCCUCUUUCCUCUCCUUCACAUUCCCCUCUCAAAUGCCACUUCAUUCAAGACACCCAGCCUUUCCAAAUAACAACCAAAUAUGUAGAGUACUUAACAAUUUUUAAAGAUUUUCCACAAGUCUCGGCUUAAUAAUCGUUCUUUCUCCUGGAACCCACCACCAUCGGCACACCCAAACAUUCAAACAAACAAGCUAACAAACAAGCUAACAAACAGAUAUCCAAACUAGCAAACAAAAUUCAAGCAUUUUAAAGGGCUACGUUCCUUUUACCACAUCUUCCUACGGCUUUCCAGACUAGACUGUGCCAGGCAAGGCAGCCCUAGGCACUGGGCACGUCUUUCCUUCAUCAGACAACCUGUGCAGCAUGACAUCGGAUCCCUUCGGUCCCCUCUCACUCAGACAAUCCGCUGUAACCACAGUUAAGUUCUCGCUGGCCUCCACUAGACAGCCAUGCCGGGCCAUCCUGUCGGAAGCGGUAAAUCGCACGCCUGUGAGCCUCGGGCCGGAAGCCCGGCUUACAUCAGAGAUUCAUAACCCCAAAAGCCAGGACCUCCGACGCUUCAACUUGUCAAAGUCCCUGAGCCUGUAACACAGCACCUUUCACUUUUAAAGGUUUUCUUCUGCUCGUGAUCAUGGGAAAUUAUUCUUUAAGGGUAAAAUAAUAUUUAUGAGCUGAGUAAAAAAUACAAAGUAAAAUCCUUGACACCUCAGAAUGCAAGAAAAAUAAGAGAGAAACCAGGAGUUUGAAAUGACACUAAUUUAUUAUAUAGAUUCGCUCGUAGCACAGUAAAUGCACACAAGGAAAAUAUAAAAUGAAGAUAAAAAUUAGUAGACUUUGUUCACUCAGGAACCAAUGGAAAAGAAAGAGUACUACAUUACUCCCAAGUCCUUGAGGAGUGAUAUCAAUUCUUAUCCAAGGAAGACAAGCACAGACGGUGAUGUUUUGCGUCUGGCCGAGGACUGAGAGCUGGGUAUUGACGGCUUAGGCUCCUGCAUUGAGGCUGCCUGUUGACUUUAACCAGCUGCCCUAACAUCUCUCAGCCAUGCCAAAUUUGAGCGCCAUGCCUUCCAUUUUGGUUGACUUCACACCCAUCGGUUUUUCCUUGACGAUGUCACUGAGUGGCAGGAGCUGAUAGUCUCCACAUCGGACAGAUGAAGCAAUGGAGGCGCCAAGGGGUUAGGUGAAAACAUCCGUGGUUACUAAGUUAGGACAAAGGCGACCCGGAAGCCAAGCCUCCCGCAUUUCAGCUCCCUGCGCUUGCCCGACCGGCCAGAUGUCUCUUUCUACUAAAAAUAUCACUAUUCUGCUUAUGCCUCACAUUGUUCCUUUGUUUUCAAGAUUCGUUUUCCCUGCAGAAGUUUUGACUCACGUGUCAGGUGUUUUAUUCACAGUUUGGGCUGCUCGUCCCGGUGAAGUGUCACCAUCUACGCUACGGGCUGUCUCCUGGGAAACCCAAUUAUUUCUGAAAACUUGAAAUCGUAUGCAACUGAGCCCCCCAAAAUUAACCUCUUCUCCUUAAACAUUCCUUUCCCUGAGCACUCGCACGAGCACAGUCGGUUCGUCAAUCUCUUUAUGUAAAUAGUAGUCAUGCAGCAAGGGAGGAGGUCUGUUUAUUAUUUUUGAUCCUGUUUUGCUUCUGGCAAAAUUUCACAAACAGCAGAAGUUGGCAGAACAUUGAUAUUUUCUUCUGACUGGCUACUGUUCUCUAGCUUACAAGUGCAGAGUACAACUGUGACUAUUCUGGUCUGCGGGACUCAGCCAUGACUGAGGUCAAAAUUACAAAAUCGGGCUGGGGGGAGGUAAAAAAAAAAAAAAACCCAAAACCCUCCAUCCAGGACAUCCCUCCAGAAACGCUUUCCUUCCACUAUAGAAUUGUCGAGCUCGAGAUCCAGAGUCCAGAGAGCACCACAGGUGUGACCUAAUUGCCACCUGGCUUUUUGUCCCCCCUCCAAGGUGCACAUUGAAGAUGCCGUGAGCCACUGAGGUCCAUGGGCCCUCAGAGGCCUGGGAAAGCCUGAGGGAGGACGAGCAUCCGCCCCCAGUACUUUCUAGAAAGAAGGGCAGCAUAGGAAGGAGGGGGAGGAUGCAGGGAUAAGGAACCUCUUCUUUCCCUCCCUUACGUUUGUUCCUACCUGACCCCACUGGAUGCCUCGUCGCAGGAAUGCUGAUGCCUUGACAUUGACUUUGGACAAAGGGUCCUUGAUAAAGAGCGGCCAGUCCUCAUGAGGGAGUGGGAGGGGCGUUACUAUGUAGGAUGGUCACGCAGAACUGCAGCUGGAUUUGGAGGCGCAAUGAAGUCCUCCAGCAACUUGAGAGGCUGGUGGGAGAGGGAGGACCAACCGAGUCUAAAAUGAUGAAACGCGACAGGACAGCCCACCUCGGUUCCGGGUAGGCACCCCUGCCUAUGAUUAUCAGGGCAACGGAGUUGCGGAGCGGUGCAAACGACGCGGGCCCAGAAUGACACAGACCAGAGGUCAAAGCGCAGCCCUGCCACCUACUUCCUGGGAGACUUAGGAAACGUUUUUUUUUGUUGUUUUUUUUUAACUCCCUGAGCCUUUGUUUUCUCAUCUGCAAAACGAACAUCAUAAGAUGUUGAGCACUAGGCCUCCCUACAUUUAUUUUCCAGAUGAGUAAACUGAACUCUCAGAGCUCCAUGAAAUUUAAAUAAAAUAGCAAUAUAUGUAGUGCCAAAAAUAGUCCCUGGUACACAAUAGGGAGCCCAAAAUGAGAGAAACGAUAAGUAUACUAUUACUGUUUUUAAACUGUGUAAACGUUUCAAAAGCUAACAUUUAUAAAAAGUUAAAUCACCACUCCCCGGCCCCAAAUAGUUUGCUUAAAUGCACAGAAAUGUUAAUAAACCACGUUGACAACCUGCCUCUCCAGGAAGAACCCCAACUUUCGCUUUUCUUUUCACUGGGGCGGUCCAGUGGACGUGUUCUCCCCGAGCCCAGGAGGCAGGCCUCUCCCUCACCUCUGGGCACAGCUGCACAGGCUCAAUCAAGCAUGAGUGACAGUUAAUGAGCCGCAAAGAACUUGUCUCAACUCCACGUCAUUCCUGCAUCAUGGGACAAAGCAAUACACUUCACAGAAUAGAAGCUGUCGUGUCCCGGGCCAGCCCUGCUAGAGUAACCAACGAUGGGAAGAGGCAGAGCGACAGGAGAAACUUCACGUGCAACAAACAAAUAUAAUGGCCUUGUCAGAAACUGAACUGUAAAGCCGGAAGCGAGGCAGUCAUCUGACUCUGAAUGGGAUGGGGGAAGGAAAAAGUUGGACUCUGAAACCAUCUCUAUUCUACCGAUGCAGAAAGUUUGGGGAGUGGACGAACAAACAGUGUCCUGGGGAUAGUCUGGAUCCCAUGAGGCUAUUUAUAAAAGAGAAGAAAGUGUUUCUUGAAAUUCGAUCAACACAUUUCAAUUAUUUGCCCCUAAGAACACGGGUUUCAACAUCCUGCCAACAAAAACAACUGCUGAGAGACCGUCACACAAGCAGGUAAGAAGCAAACCCCCUACCAUUUUAUAAGCUGUUCCAAGCAACCCCAGUGGAUUGCCCACCGCGGCCAGUGACGACAUACAAACACUCCCACGUGGAAUCGCAUAACACUCUGUGUUGGGCCCGACAGCGGAUGAUGAACUCAGCCACUGAAAUUCUUUCGCAGUCCUCUUCAAGCUAUCCUGCAAGACUGAUUUCCCUUCUUGCUUGCCAAGUAUUUCCCCGCUCCCUCUUCUAGGAAGCCAGUAAUAAAAAUAUUUAAGCAGCUCUA
Pteropus alecto (black flying fox) is the source of this 6331-nucleotide long non-coding RNA. RefSeq lists it as uncharacterized. The transcript is spliced from 2 exons. NCBI's taxonomy places the organism in Eukaryota, Metazoa, Chordata, Mammalia, Chiroptera, Pteropodidae. The record is from RefSeq and is a predicted model, not a curated record.